UAGAGUCAAGAGUAGAGAACUAUGAC
RNAcentral lists this unclassified non-coding RNA (26 nucleotides) under Mus musculus (house mouse). Its description in RNAcentral is "oocyte_clustered_small_RNA8866". The record is from RNAcentral. Lineage: Eukaryota; Metazoa; Chordata; Mammalia; Rodentia; Muridae.